CCGAGAAAGCACCUUUGGGACAGAAGACUUGUUGCAUCUGCUGAUUCCAAGGAAGGAAUUUUCCUUUGUUUAGAAGAUCUCUGAGGGACUUUUCAUGGACAACCAUCAACAGCCACCAGACUGGAAUCUGCAAAGAAAUCUCCAUGUUGGUUUAAGCUGGGCCUUGGGAACAAAAUCAAAAAGAGAGAGAGAGAGAGAUUCUUUUCUUUGUAUCUCCAGAGAAUGCCUGUACUAGGACGGCCUGGCUUUUCAGCCGUAAAAGGAGGAAACAAGCUGCACAAGCUUUGGGGGCAUCAAAGCCAUCGGAGACAACGCUG
This is a long non-coding RNA of Thamnophis elegans (Western terrestrial garter snake), 317 nucleotides long. RefSeq lists it as uncharacterized. The transcript has 3 exons. The record is from RefSeq and is a predicted model, not a curated record. NCBI's taxonomy places the organism in Eukaryota, Metazoa, Chordata, Lepidosauria, Squamata, Natricidae.